RNAcentral lists this ribosomal RNA (440 nucleotides) under uncultured bacterium. Its description in RNAcentral is "partial 16S ribosomal RNA". It matches the Rfam family "Bacterial small subunit ribosomal RNA", at positions 338 to 795 of the family's 1533-position model. The record is from RNAcentral.
CCUACGGGAGGCAGCAGUGGGGGAUAUUGCACAAUGGGGGGAACCCUGAUGCAGCGACGCCGCGUGGGUGAAGAAGCGCCUCGGCGCGUAAAGCCCUGUCAGCAGGGAAGAAAAUGACGGUACCUGAAGAAGAAGCACCGGCUAACAACGUGCCAGCAGCCGCGGCAAUACGUCGGGGGCAAGCGUUAUCCGGAUGUACUGGGUGUAAAGGGGGCGCAGACGGCGAUGCAAGCCAGGAGUGAAAGCACGGGGCCCCACCCCGGGACUGCUCUUGGAACUGCGUGGCUGGAGUGCAGGCGGGGCAGGCGGAAUACGUGGUGUAGCGGUGAAAUGCGUAGAUAUCAGGAGGAACCCCGAUGGCGAAGGCGGCCUGCUGGCCUGCAACUGACGUUGAGGCCCGAAAGCGUGGGGAGCGAACAGGAUUAGAUACCCCAGUAGUC